Molecule: long non-coding RNA, 2292 nt
Filed under: Olea europaea (common olive)
Lineage: Eukaryota; Viridiplantae; Streptophyta; Magnoliopsida; Lamiales; Oleaceae
Description: long non-coding RNA (OEUR_LNC008839)
Source: RNAcentral
UUGGCCUUCAUUAAAGCACUUUAAUUUUUUUUUUCAGCCACUUUUCAACCCCUUUUUUUGAGCCAAGUGGGGUCAAUUCUGCUGCCUUCUUGAUCAUUUGCAGUGUACCACAUUUUUUCAAGAGAAUUGGUGGUACCAAUGGACGAAACCACCCUCAAAUAUCAAAACUAGAUGACCAAUUGAGGGGAGUGGUUGAGAGGGCAAAUUUGUCAUUUAGUACUGUGAUCAACAGUUACCUCCGUUUGAAUUCUACUGCACUAUCUGACUUUAUGACACAUGGGGUCCGCACUAGUUUGAGAAAUUGACAAAUAAAAAAAAAAGUUGAACCCCAACCUUAAGGGCUCCCACCGCCCCACCCCUAAAGCAUCGUGAAGGAGGUAAAUAACUGGAUGUACCCCAACAGGUCAGAGAACCAAAAAUUGACAAAUAAUGUGUUUUAAUGGAGGCAAAAUGGGGGCUUAGACUAUGCAAUACCCGAAAAGUUCGGUUUGGUUCGGUUCUCUUUAGAACCGAACCGAACCGAUCCGUGCCCACCCCUAAUUUGCAGUGUACCACAUUUUUUCAAGAGAAUUGGUGGUACCAAUGGACGAAACCACCCUCAAAUAUCAAAACUAGAUGACCAAUUGAGGGGAGUGGUUGAGAGGGCAAAUUUGUCAUUUAGUACUGUGAUCAACAGUUACCUCCGUUUGAAUUCUACUGCACUAUCUGACUUUAUGACACAUGGGGUCCGCACUAGUUUGAGAAAUUGACAAAUAAAAAAAAAAAGUUGAACCCCAACCUUAAGGGCUCCCAUCGCCCCACCCCUAAAGCAUCGUGAAGGAAGUAAAUAGCUGGAUGUACCCCAACAGGUCAGAGAACCAAAAAUUGACAAAUAAUGUGUUUUAAUGGAGGCAAAAUGGGGGCUUAGACUAUGCCAAUAUUAGAGUUUUCUAGGGCCCACGUGACCCUAAUCAAGAAGAAUAAUUUUUAUUAUAUUGACACAUUAGUAAUAGUCCUCAGCACCUCAAAGCCGUUGAAUAUCAUUGAAGGGGGGACGAGGAGACUCAUCACCUAAUCUGAGAGAUGAAUAAAUAUAGGCUAAUACAUUAAUUAAACUCGUUGUUGAAAGAUUUUUAAGUAUUUAUAUCUUGGGAUUACCUAUAAUUUUAAAGGGAAAAACAAAUUAUCCCCUUUUUAAUCAAACACGAAAAUUUGAAAUUUUCAAGCUAAAAUUAUUUUCAAUUUUGAAAGUUACAACACUACACUCAUGAACACAAAAAUAGCGUGUACUAUGACAAGAUCUUUACAAAUCGAAGGUCAAAGGUUAGAUUGUCUCGAAAAUCUGUCGGGGUAUCAAUCCGAUGUUGGCGCAGCAAACUACGAAUACAGAAUGGCCUCAUUCAGUUCAAAACUGCUUUUUUCUAAAGAUUUUGGACAAAACAUGGGGCUUAGUUCCUAAUCUUAUGGCAUUAGCCUACCAUUAAUUUUUACUCAAGUAAGUUCUAGGACAAAUGCUAUCCUAGUGGACUUACAUAUGACCCAACAAAUGUCCUUUUACCCUAUCGUCAUCUUCCACGUGUAAUUGUAUGUAACAAGCGUGGGUGUCAAACGUGGGCCCUACAUAAAUCACGCCCUCUAAUUAAUUCUUAAUUCGCUCUUCUAAUCAAUAAUUAAUUAUAAUCAAUGUCUACUGCGCGUGCACGCUUGGUACAUAAUAAUUAAGGGUCAACCCUAUUCUCUUAUCUAAAUACACGAUUCCAUCGUAUUAUAAUUGUUAUUUAAUUAUUUAUACGCACAAAAUAAGAAUAAAAUGAUUUUAUUUUUUUGGGUCAAUUUGCGUAUGAUGAAAUAAUUGUUUAUUUAAAUAAUGACAUACGAUUAAGUUUGGAGUUUGGGAUUGAAUAAAAUCCAUCUUGAUAGUUUGAAAAUUAAAAAAUAAAAGUAUUUAUAGAAUAAAAUCCAAUAUGGGUUUGACCAGAUCAAAAUCUAUCUCGACUUAUGAGUAAAAUUAAUGUGUUUUCACAGUGAAAUAAUGACUUGUUUAGUAACAUAGAUCGGAUCAUGCUAAAAAAAAUGAAGCUAAAUUCUUGUUUAUUGUAAUUCAGUUUCAAAAAAAUUUCUUUCGAGCGCUUAUCUAAGUGAUUAUCUGUGGUAUCUUGCCUAUUGACGAAUUGGUUAAACGUUGAACUCACAACCACUAUACAAUUGAUAUGUGUAUUAUUAAUUAUUCAUGUUUGAGUAGUGGAUUUCAGUUAUUUAUUAUACGUGCCAAUUAAUCAAUUAUAUGGUCAUUGAGUACUAAGUUUCAAUACU